This is a long non-coding RNA of Cololabis saira (Pacific saury), 3269 nucleotides long. RefSeq lists it as uncharacterized. The transcript is spliced from 5 exons. The record is from RefSeq and is a predicted model, not a curated record. Lineage: Eukaryota; Metazoa; Chordata; Actinopteri; Beloniformes; Belonidae.
CAUUGUCAGAGAGCACGGCAGGAUCCUUAUCCAGAGACUUGGAUGGGCCCCUACGUCCAACAUGGCAGCUUUUCUGGAUGUCAUGGAAGACAGCAAUCAACCUGCCAAACUGCUCAUCCAUCCAUGAACUCAUGCACUUUCACAACUGUGCACUUGAAGAACCAGCAACCAGCUCUAAGGACAGGGAAAAACAGAUGGAACUUGCGCCAUAGCCAAAAAGAGACAUUUCUCCGGUAAGAAGAGGAAAGACUAAGCCUCCUGCAAGACUAAUGAACACAGCUGUCCUUCUGUUUGCCUCAGCAAGAUGCAAAGCCAUCACUCUGGUGCCUGGGAUAAAAGGAAACACUGAACGAAUCCUGACGUGUUGUUAAAGCAACGAGGGAUUUAAGAAAAAAAAAUAAGAAAAAAAGAGAAACAUUAGCAAGCUUCUGGAAGGAAAAGGGAGGAGAGAGGGGGCAGAAUGACUCAGAGCACAACAGUGAGAAUAUAGUCUAUUCUGCAUGUGGAGAAGUAGAGGGAGGUAAAGGACCAAUUAUGAGGAUAUAAGGGAGAAAAUUGCAACUGAGUUGUCAUUACACAGAAGAAUGACAGGAUGAGGUCAGAAGCUGCCAUAAUAGUAGGCAGUGAGUGAGACAAUGACCAAGUGAAUCAGCUUGCCAGGGGACGAGAGAAGAGGAUGAGUUUCAAAGAUAAGUGUUAGCUUUGUCUGAAAUCAGCUGAGAUAAAGUUCAACAGAGGAUUGCUGCAGGCUGGACCGUGACAAAGAUCUGCAAAAGGUCAGACUGGCCUGCUUAAUGAACAACUGCUUCAACUACUACAGGGGAAAAGGUCCUGAGUAACUGUCACUUCCUGCAGGGAGAGAUUACGACUGAAAUUUGUAUUCGGGAGAAGAAACUUCAAGAAGCCUUACUAAGAAGAGGAAGAGAAUCGCAGGAAGGGGUUAAAAAGAAGCCAACAAUUGUGUAUAAACGUGAAUGAAAGGAGGCCAGAUUAGAUUGAAAAUUGAGAUACAAGCAAAGCCAUUCGGUGAGGGCUGAACCCAUGGGGGAAAAAAACUGAACUGAUAAAAGAAACAUCCGAUGCAGAUUGAUGGAGGACAUGGACAAUGUAUCAGUGACAUAAACACACCAAGCAGCAUCUUGUUAGAUAUUGACGCUGACAGACCACUUGACCCUCUUAUCACGGACAGUAAUGCGGCUCGUUCUCCAUUCAAUGGGACUCUUACAGAAGACCGAGCAAGAUGCGUUGGACGACCUGACAUGCUGGAGGCUUUUUCACAAACCGUGCAACUUCUUUAGGAGAGUGGAAUGACUAAAGAAAGAAGAGAUGGACCUCUUUGUGGAAUAGAAAAGAACAUCACUAUUUAAGAAAUCUUUAAAACAAAGACAUCAGGAUUUUAUUAUUUUCUGAGAGUGAACAGUGAAGGAUUGCACAUUGGACUGAAACGCUUCACCUGCUCUGACAGCUGCUCUGCAUCAUUCUCCAAUGAGAUGAACAUACACACCUGAGGCGUUCAUUUUAACUAUUGUGUCUUGGACUGACUGGAGCCAUUUCUGGUCUCAUAACAGGAGAUGUGACACAUUACAGAGGUUUUUUCUUUUCCCAUGGAGGACCUCUCGAGAAGAAAUGUGAGCAGGUUCUAUGAUGAGCAAGAUGCCUACUUUGAUUCUUUGAAUGAAUAAUGUCAACGUGGUUGUUAAUGUCAUCGAGGCAUUAUGUUAGGAACUGCCUGCUCUCCUCCGAACAAAUCGACACAACACCAGAGCCUCCAUCCAGCUGUGGAUAGACCAGCUGCGUGUUUAUGUGGGGCAGCGUUUGGUUGCGAUUCUAUCGAGGAUGUGUGAUCCUGCACUGAGCUUUUAACCCGGCUGUGUGUGAGUGUAUUUUCAGUCACUCAGAACUCUGUUUGCGUGUGUGUGUGUUCCUGGAAUCUCCUCACCAGCGACAGAGCUGGACCUGAACAGUAGUGGUGAGAAGGGGGACAGGGAGGGGGAGGAGAAGGAGGAAGAGGAGAAGAGAAAGCUGUUGAAAGAAACCAGCAAGACAAAGAAGAAUAAAAAGCUGAAAACAUGCUCGGAUAAGGAGGAGAAACUGAGGAGACUUUGGCUGCCCCCCUGGUGCAAUGUGUGGCGUCGCGCUCUGUGGGGGUGGGGUUCUGUGAUGGUAACCAUGGUCCCGGGCAGCCGCUAUGUCUGCAGCACUCAUGCAAGAGAGGAUGACUCUACUAAUGACCGGGAGGAGAGAAUUUUAGCCGUGCUGGGCAUCAUUGGAACCAUCCUCAAUCUUUUAGUGGUGAUAUUUGUUUACAUUUAUACCUCCGUCACUUAACCUUUUUUGCAAGACGUAAUAAGAGACUUUCAGAGCUCACAUUUCUUUACACCGCCACCCUUCCUCUUGAAGGAUUUAUAUACUUUGAAGUUUGCAUACCGAAUAAGCACAGCGGAUCUUUGGGAGUGUGUUCAACUGGACAUCAGAUGCAUUUCUCCACACCUGUACUACUGCCACUUCCUCUGCAGAGGUGAAAUCAUCUGAACUUCCAAAACUGUUCAUAUUAAACUGCACCUUCACAUUUCGUAACAUAUUUCCACAAACCCAACACCUGCUGACAGCAAAAGCCAAGCCUCUGCAUGUGCAUCACCCCGUAUAUGUUGGAUAAUAUCUAGUGACUUCUGAGACAGCUGGAGUUGAGCUCUUGUCGUAUUUGCCUGUAAAGCGUUCUCGACUGUCUUACACAACUUUGAGAUUUGACAUGCACUGCCAGCUAAAUUUGUCACGGUGGUCAAACCAACAAGACAGCUUUGAGCCAUUCAGAAUAAUUUAGCCAAUUAGGUGCGGGGAUUUACCCUAUUUAAACUUUUAUUAUGGACCAAAAUAUGCAAGUAACUCAAGAGAAUUAUCAGCAGGCACAUCACUUACAGUAGGAGUACCUGGGAAGCUACUUGAGUAGAUUUUUGUGGUAAGGAGAAUCCUUGCAAGUGUUUUACAUGGAAUUGAAGUGCCCAUACCUGAGCACACCGGAGGAGAGAUUCCUGGCUGUGCUCGGAGUCAUUGGCAUCGUACUGAACCUCCUGCUGCUUCUCUUUGUCUAUUUAUACACCUCCAUCUGAUGAGGUGUCUUCAAGUUCUUCAUAUGGCAAGUUAUUAGAUAAUUGCAACCCUACCAGUCCCAAUCAUCAUAUACUAUUGGAGCUUCUUUUGCCACACAAGGCGGCGAUUGCAUUGCAACUUGGGCUGACUUUUUUUUUUUUUUUUUUUUUUAUUGUUUAUUU